AAACAAAAUAAAAUUGAAUUAUAAUAAAAACUCGUAGACAAACUAAUCGAUACUUUAAGCGGUUUACAAUAAUGAGAUACGCAUUUGAACGCCAAAAUAAGACAACAUCGACUUUGUAAUAAUUUCAGUGUUUUCACAAACACUGUUUUGCAAUGGUGGUGGACGUGAUUAUUAUUAAAUUUUUUUGAAUUUCAAUGCUGCUAUGCCAAUGAAGCUUCAACAGUAUCAGUUCAAUCACUAACUGAGAAGAACAUACAAGAAUUUUAAGAAGAAGCUAUAAUAUUUUGCGCGAAGAAUAUUUAAACAUGAGAAAAUUUGUUUUGAUAUUUUUGUUUCAAAUGAUGAUAAUAAUUUCAUCAACGAUGAGCUAUCCGGUAGAGUCGAAUGAUACACCAAUUAAAAAAAUUGUCAUUCGACCAACAACUCGCAGUGAUUUGAUUCAAGCACAACAGCACCACACAAAAGUCCACAGUAAUCGCGGUCGAAAAAUUGAAUUGGGGCCAUCAAUUAUCAAAGUAUUAAAAAAACCAAGGAUUAAGGCGACGAAAACACCGAUGUCAAAUCAUUCAAAGAAAUUCGAUUCAAAAAUCCAUAUUUUACCAACCGGAGAAAAUUCUGUUCACUAUGCUAAAGCAAAAGCAAAUGGUAGUUUUCGUAAUAGUCCAAUUAGUUUGAUUAAUUGAUCGCAGAAAAAGAUUUAUUUGGUUCUUUAAUCCAGACAAUGUAUUGAACUAACUGGUCAACUGAGCUGACAGUACGUUAGCCAGAUAAAUGGGCUUAAACAAUAAAUGUUAUUGUUAUAAUGAUGAAUCACUUCUAUUGGUUUAAUCAAAGUGAUUGAUUACUAUAACAAUAACUUCUAUUGUUUCAUAUUCAUUUGGCUGGCUUACGUACUGUUAGCUCAGUUGACCAGUUAGUUCAAUAUAUUGUCUGGUUUUAUUCAUGUUAUGAAAAAAGUCAUAUAAAAAUUUACUAAUUUGAAUUCUAACACAUUUUAAAUAAAUUCAUAAAAAAUCGAUUUUUUGUCCCACAAAUUUUACAAAAAUUUCGAAAAAAACAUGACAUGACAUUGUUCAUGAUGACAAUAUAUAUAUAUUUGACUCGCUUAUCUAGAAGGAUGGGCAAAAUUGGCCUAACACUAGUACUAAAAUAUUGUGUAUAAAAGUUGUAAAAAAUCAAUAUAUUUUAACAAUGUAACAAUACA
Contarinia nasturtii (swede midge) is the source of this 1204-nucleotide long non-coding RNA. RefSeq lists it as uncharacterized. NCBI's taxonomy places the organism in Eukaryota, Metazoa, Arthropoda, Insecta, Diptera, Cecidomyiidae. The transcript has 2 exons. The record is from RefSeq and is a predicted model, not a curated record.